GUAGGUGGCAAGCGUUGUCCGGAAUUAUUGGGCGUAAAGCGCGCGCAGGCGGGUCCUUUAAGUCUGAUGUGAAAGCCCACGGGCUCAACCGUGGAGGGUCAUUGGAAACUGGGGGACUUGAGUACAGAAGAGGAAAGCGGAAUUCCAAGUGUAGCGGUGAAAUGCGUAGAGAUUUGGAGGAACACCAGUGGCGAAGGCGGCUUUCUGGUCUGUAACUGACGCUGAGGCGCGGAAGCGUGGGGAGCAAACAGGAUUAGAUACCCUGGUAGUCCACGCCGUAAACGAUGAGUGCUAAGUGUUAGGGGGUUUCCGCCCCUUAGUGCUGCAGCUAACGCAUUAAGCACUCCGCCUGGGGAGUACGGCCGCAAAGGCUG
Molecule: ribosomal RNA, 374 nt
Filed under: uncultured organism
Description: partial 16S ribosomal RNA
Rfam family: Bacterial small subunit ribosomal RNA
Source: RNAcentral